This 477-nucleotide ribosomal RNA is filed under the name uncultured bacterium. Its description in RNAcentral is "partial 16S ribosomal RNA". It matches the Rfam family "Bacterial small subunit ribosomal RNA", at positions 28 to 506 of the family's 1533-position model. The record is from RNAcentral.
GAUGAACGCUGGCGGCGUGCCUAACACAUGCAAGUCGAACGGAGUCCAGCCUUUAAGACCUUCGGGUCAAAGAGGGGAAGACUGAGUGGCGGACGGGUGAGUAACACGUGGGCAACCUGGCUCAUAGAGGGGGAUAACAGAGAGAAAUUUCUGCUAAUACCGCAUAAGCACACACUGCCGCAUGGCAGAGGGUGAAAAGAGAAUCGCUAUGAGAUGGACCCGCGUCUGAUUAGCCAGUUGGCAGGGUAAGAGCCUACCAAAGCGACGAUCAGUAGCCGAUCUGAGAGGAGGAACGGCCACAUUGGGACUGAGACACGGCCCAAACUCCUACGGGAGGCAGCAGUGGGGGAUAUUGCACAAUGGGGGGAACCCUGAUGCAGCGACGCCGCGUGAGUGAAGAAGUAUUUCGGUAUGUAAAGCUCUAUCAGCAGGGAAGAUAAUGACAGUACCUGAAUAAGAAGCCCCGGCUAACUACGU